RNAcentral lists this long non-coding RNA (4107 nucleotides) under Salmo salar (Atlantic salmon). Its description in RNAcentral is "lncRNA (ENSSSAG00000091435.1)". The record is from RNAcentral. Lineage: Eukaryota; Metazoa; Chordata; Actinopteri; Salmoniformes; Salmonidae.
CUCGCUCUCUUUCUCUCUCAUGCUUUCUCUCUCUAUGUCUGUCUGUCUGUCUGUCUGUCUGUCUGUCUGUCUGUCUCUCUCUCUCUCUCUCUCUCUCUCUCUCUCUCUCUCUCUCUCCUUUCUUCUAUAAAUGACCACCAUUCAUUCAUUCUUCCAUCUCUUUGUCAUUUUUACUCCAUUUUGCUGCGUGUUCAUUCAACAUUCAAUUUGUUUUAUUGCUAUGCACACAGAAGAAAAUAGUAAAUGGUAUGGCUACAUGAUUUUCAUUUUGAUGUAGUAUUUUUUUCUUCUGUUUAUUCCUACCACUUGGCGUUAUUGCUUUCAGUAGUCUAGACGCUGCAGUAUUUCAGUCGCCAACAGCAGAGGCGAAGAUGCUUGCCCACUUUGAGGAUAAGUCACUAAACUCAUCAGUUAAAUUAGUGCAGGCACACUGCGCUCAGCAAAGGAGGAUGUGACUUAUUUCUCGAAUUGAGUUAAUCCACCUUGACAUUUGGAGAUGCUUUAUCCAUCGACUGCUUUUCCUGUUCUGAAAAGAGGACAGAAAACCGAAGUUUGCUAUAUGUUCUCCCUCACUUCAAAGAAAUGUGGGAUUCAUCUGCGGUUGUGUAGGGUUUCUUAUCGGAUGAGUACAAGGUGUGUCACCUGUGGAAAAAAUAAAUAACUGAGGAUUUCCUUUAUGAAGAUGCCCACAGAACGUUUAUGUGUGUCCAUUGGAACGUUGCUGUUUGCCUUUUUGUCUUUCUCCACUGUUCGAGGUCACACCACCAGCCGACCGAGUAUGACCUCAGCGGAGGGCAGUGGGGCUGGGGUCAACGUGGGGGGUCUAAAAUCUGUCCUGGAGGACACCGUGUCCCCAGCCUUCGGUGCCACCAUCAUCAUCAUCAUCACUGUCAUUGUGUCCGGGAGCGCCUACCUCUGUUUCCUCAAGUACGUCUGUGCAGGCUGCUGCAAACCCACACAGGUGGCCCCGGUUACACACCUGGACCCAAACAAGACUGAAGAGCAGGUGUAGCGGAGUUCGUGUGAGUGUGUGUGCGUGAACGUGCACUGGAAACAGCUGUCUCUGUGUGUGUGUGUGUGUGUGUGUGUGUGUGUGUGUGUGUGUGUGUGUGUGUGUGUGUGUGUGUGUGUGUGUGUGUGUGUGUGUGUGUGCGUGUGUGCACAUCAUAAACAGACCUUCAUUCAAAACAGCUUUUUCCCAGCUAAUUAACACUUGAUGGAUUCCUGUGGUUAAUCUCUCAUGUUUAAUUACUGUGAACCAGAGUGACUCAUUGAAGAGCUGUGUGUUUAAUUACCGAGACUACCAGCGGUGGGGUGGGCCAACCACGAACACUUUCCAUGGAAGGGACUCGCAGAGAGAUGGAAGGAUGGAUGGAAUAUCAAAUGAAAAGCUGCAGCACUCUAACACACAGUGGGAAAACUAAGCCUGACAUUGAUUGGGUAAACGGCGUGUUAGCUUUUGUGUGUGUGUGUGUGUGUGUGUGUGUGUGUGUGUGUGUGUGUGUGUGUGUGUGUGUGUGUGUGUGUGUGUGUGUGUGUGUGUGUGUGUGUGUGUGUGUGUGUGUGUGUGUGUGUGUGUGUGUGUGUGUGUGUGUGUGUGUGUGUGUGUGUGUGUGUGUGUGUGUGUGUGUGUGUUUUAUUUGUGAAGGGGAGACUUGCCACUUGCUGCCGUGAAGAAGUGAGAACACACACCUCCGUGAAGAAGUGAGAACACACCUCUCUGGAUUCAGACCCUCUCUCUUUCUCCUCCAUUUUCCCUAUUUUCUCAUUUUUCCUCCAGAAGGGUGAGCGGAGUGUUUGCCGGGGUCUCAUGUUUAAAAACAUCCUCUUCCCCUCCUCCUCUCCUCCUCCUCUUCCCCUCCUCCUAUCCUCCUCUCCUCCUCCUCUUCUCUUCCCCUCCCCCCCUCCUCCUCCUCUUCUCAUCCUCUUCCCCUACUCCUCCUCCUCUCCUCAUCCUCUUCCACUCCACAUCUCCUUCUCUUCUUCUACUCCUCUUCUCCUUCUCCUCCUAUCCUCCUCUUCCCCUCCUCCUCUUCUCCUCCUCCUCUUCCCCUCCUCCUCUUCUCCUCCUCCUCUUCCCCCCCUCCUCCUCCUCCUCUCCUCCUCCUCUUCCCCUCCCCCUCCUCCUCCUCUUCCCCUCCCCCUCCUCCUCUCCUCCUCCUCUCCUCUUAUCCUCCUCCUCUUCCCCUCCCCCCUCCUCUCCUCCUCCUCUUCUCCUCCUACUCUCCUCCUCUUCCCCUCCUCCUCUCCUCCUCCUCCUCUUCCCCUCCUCCUCUUCCCCUCCUCUCUCCCUCCCUGCCUAGAGUGUCUCUUAUAAGAGUUCUGUGAUACUAAAUUACAUUUUCUCUGAGGUACAGAGGAUGUUCAAAGAAGCCCUGGUUUAUUUAACACCGCGACCAACAAUAUACAUUUUCAAUAAUGCAUAUAGUAUCAGAGCUUCAUGAAGAGGAAUGAAUGGUACUCCCCUCUAUUUCCUCCCAAACACAUAAAAGAUACUUUGUAUAAAACAAAUUAUUCUUAAUUACAGAGGUGUUUUCAUCUCUCUAUAGUGUUGUGUAUAAAUUGAGCUGUUGUAUGGUUUGCUGUAUUAUUUCACAAUGCCUGUUAUCCUAAAUGUGUUUUCAUCUAGCGUAGCAUCCCGUAUCAUCGGCAUAUUCAACAGUGUAUAAGAAACAUAUUACCUUCAACGUUGUUAUCUUGUGAUAAAGCCAUCAAUGUUUUGUGAUUAUUGGUGUCGUAAAAAUGUUAGCUAACCGGGUUAGCAAUUAGCAUGUUUGACAUUCAGUGGAAAUACUAUUAAUCAAAUUUCAAUCAAAUGUAUUUAUAAAGCCCUUUUUUUUUUUUACAUCAGCCGAUGUCACAAAGUGCUGUACAGAAUCUCAGCCUAAAACCCCAAAUAGCAAGCAAUGCAGAUGUAGAAGCACGGUAGCUAGGAAAAACUCCCUAAAAGGCCAGAACCUAGGAAGAAACCUAGAGAGGAACCAGGCUCUGAGGGUGGCCAGUCCUCUUCUGCCUGUGCCGGGUGGAGAUUAUAACAGAACAUGUUAUACAUGUUAACAAGAUGUUCAAACGUUCAUAGAUGACCAGCAGGGUCAGAUAAUAAUAAUCACAGUGGUUGUAGAGGGUGCAACAGGUCAGCACCUCAGGAGUAAAUGUCAGUUGGCUUUUCAUAGCCGAUCAUUCAGUUAGAGACAGCAGGUGCGGUAGAGAGAGUCCAAAACAGCAAGUUCGGGACAAGGUAGCCCGUCCGGUGAACAGGUCAGGAACAACAGUAGAAACUGGAGCAGCAGCAUGACCUGGUAGACUGGGGACAGCAAGGAGCAAUCAGGCCAGGUAGUCCUGAGGCAUGGUCCUAGGGCUCAGGUCCUCCGAGAGAGAGAGAGAGAAAGAGAGAGAGAGAAUUAGAUGGAGCGUACUUAAAUUCACACAGGACACCGGAUAUGACAUGAGAAAUACUCCAGAUAUAACAGACUGACCCUAGCCCUCCCACACAUAAAUUACUGCAGCAUAAAUACUGGAGGCUGAGACAGGAGGGAUCGGGAGACACUGUGGCCCUGUCCGACGAUACCCCCGGACAGGGCCAAACAGGCAGGAUAUAACCCCACCGACUUUGCCAAGGCACAGCCCCCACACCACUAGAGGGAUAUCUACUACUAUCAGCUUUGUGGUUUAGCAAAAAAAAACAUGUCCCGUAUUAUCGGCAUAUGGUUCCCAGUUAUUGAUGACUAUUUUUGGUUGUUGAUUUUGUUCAAAAAAAGAGACAUCAACUGUCACGUCCUGACCAUUGCAAGCUUUUAUUUUCUAUAGUAGAGUAGGUCAGGUCGUGACAGGGGGCUUUGUCUAGUUUAAAUUUUCUAUGUUGUGUGGUUCUAGUUUCUGUUUUUCUAUGUUUUUUUGGGGGAUGAUCUCCAAUUAGAGGCAGCUGGUCAUUCGUUGUCUCUAAUUGGGGAUCAUAUUUAAGUAGUUGUUUUUCCCACCUGGGUUUGUGGGAGAUUAUAUUUUGAGUUAGUGUAUGUUUCACCUCUUUGUCACGGUUAGUUGUUUUGUUUAUUCGUUUAUUUAUAUGUCUUGCAUAGUUUCACAGUUAUAAUAAAAUGUGGAACGAUA